GAUGAACGCUAGCGGCAGGCUUAAUACAUGCAAGUCGAGGGGGCAGCAAUGUCACCGGCGGACGGGUGCGUAACGCGUAUGGAACCUACCUUUAUCAGGGGGAUAGCCCGGGGAAACCCGGAUUAAUACCGCAUAAUAUAUUGAACGGCAUCGUUUAAUAUUGAAAGAUUUAUUGGAUAGAGAUGGUCAUGCGUAGGAUUAGCUAGUUGGUAAGGUAACGGCUUACUAAGGCGACGAUCCUUAGGGGCUCUGAGAGGAGUAACCCCCACACUGGCACUGGGAUACGGGCCAGACUCCUACGGGAGGCAGCAGUAGGGAAUAUUGGGCAAUGGGCGAGAGCCUGACCCAGCCAUGCCGCGUGCAGGAAGACGGCCCUCUGGGUUGUAAACUGCUUUUGAAUGGGAAGAACGGUAAGCCUGCGGGCUUAAUUGACGGUACCAUUAGAAUAAGCCACGGCUAACUACGUGCCAGCAGCCGCGGUAA
RNAcentral lists this ribosomal RNA (483 nucleotides) under uncultured bacterium. RNAcentral describes it as "partial 16S ribosomal RNA". It matches the Rfam family "Bacterial small subunit ribosomal RNA", at positions 28 to 523 of the family's 1533-position model. The record is from RNAcentral.